AUACCUUCCGACAAAGCAAAACGAAAACACCACGAUGAGGAAUUGGUGGAUCCGAAAGCGAAAAAAGAUGCAUGCGUUUAACAACAACAAUGUUGAUGCGUUGAAGUGGACGCAUUUCUGCAGGGUGUUGGAGGGAGGAGCAGUUGAAGACGGGAAGAUGAGAGUGAUAUUGGUGGAGGCAAUUGGGAAUCUGUAUUCAGAUAUCACAAAUAAAAAAGGCUUCUCUCCAUACUCUUAUCGCCCUUCACCUUCUCUUCAAAGGGAAACAAGGUAAUGGAAGCAAAUGAGCCAACCACAGAAAAGAAAAGAGGCACUUCAUGCAUGAGAGCUAUAUUCCCUGCAUUUUUAAAAAAAGGUUAGUUAAGAACACUACUUCUGCGUUCAUUUCCAUGUCCCUGCACUUCAUUUCGUUGCAUUGUUUUCUAUUUAUCAAGUAUAGUCUAUUAUACUAGAAACAAGCUCCUUCUGUAUUUUACUAGAAAUGUCCUUAGUCUAUAUUUUACUUGAUUUAUAGUCAACAUAUGCCAAGGACAAAAAGAUGUGGACAAGCAUGUUCUAUUCUUGUGUGACAAUUUUUGCAAUGGCAGAUUGAAAAUAUGUCAUAAGUUCUUUUAUUUAUCAUUAUUAUUAUUACUACUUUUGUCUUUUGGAAAAGUUAGAAACAUAAUGUAUAUGGUUGAGCAUCAAUCGGCGAGAAAUGCCCUUUUCAUUGCAUUUUUUUGCAUUUCUGCAACAAAACACCUUUCCAAACUAAACUUUUCAACUACCUUGCUAUUGCAUUAUAUGUAGUCAAAAGGUAUGGAAGCAGUAUUAAUUACGUCACGGCGAGCUAUUAUGAGUGUAAUUUGUCCAUUAAUUAAGUUAUUACUAACAUGGUGAUAAUAAAAUAAUUUGGUGGCCCUAUCAUUCGUUAUUAGGGGUGACAUGUAUAAAAGCAGCGGGGGGAAGACUAAUUUCAUCUCUUCUUUUUAUACACCUUUGCAGCUCCUUGUUUGCUUGAUUUGUUCAAAUAUUUCAAUAUCAUGUCGGUUUUUCCUAAUAGGGAUCAAAAUCUCUCUACCAUCUUAAUUGUAUUGAUUUCCAAGGUCCAGAUAGACUUCCUUCGAUCAAUGGGAUGGCUUCUCUUCUUGGAGAGUAUGGGAAAACUAAGAGAAUCUUAAAAGGGUAGAAAACGUGUUGCAGGAUUUUUUCUGACAUAGUUACGGUCUUCACCUCCUCUUGAUGCACUGUAAAAGAUUUUUGUAAUUACAAGCUUGAAUAUAUUUGGUAGUUGGUAAUCUUUUUUUGUAACCUAUUUGGCAUCUUCUGGUUGGGAGUGUGUAUUAAGGGUGCUCAAUUUAUGAGAUCCCUCUAUUUGAUGGUAAAUUUAUUAGAAAUGUCUAAUGCGUAAAAGCAGUGGGAAAACCAACUUCUCUUCUUUUUAUUCAUCUUUGGUACUUAUAUUGAUUACUUCUAAAUUUUCAAUAUCAUCUAGGCUAAUUCCUAACUAAGAUCAGAAUCUUGCUAGCAUCUUCUUCAUUAUAUUGAUUUCCAAGGUCAAGAUAGGCUUCUUUGGUUCAACGGUUGUGGCUGCUUUCUGCGGAGAUUAUGGUACGGAAUAAAUAAGAGAAUCUUCAGAGGGUAGGAAGCGUGUUCUUCCUCCUAGCUGGAGUCUUCACCUCCCCUUGGUGCAUUCUUAAAGAUUUUUGUAAUUGCAAGCUUGAUUAUAUUUGCUAGUUGGUAGUUCUUUUUGUAACCUAUUUGGCUUGGCAUCUUCUUGUAGGGAGUGUUCAUUAGGGGUGCUCAAUUUAUAAGGCUAUUCCUAACUAAGAUCAGAAUCUCGCUAGGAUCUUCUUCAUUAUAUUGAUUUCCAAGGUCAAGAUAGGCUUGCUUGGUUCGACGGUGUGGCUGCUUUUCGUGGCGAUUAUGGUAUGGAAUAAAAAGAGAAUCUUCAAAGUGUAGGAAGCGUGUUCUUCCAGACCUAGCUGGAGUCUUCGUCUCCCUUGGUGCACUUUUAAAAAAUUUUGUAAUUACAAGAUUGAUUAUAUCUGCUAGUUAGUAGUUCUUUUCGUAGCCUAUUUGGCAUCUUCUUGUAGGGAGUGUUCAUUAGGGGGUGCUCAUUUUAUAAGGUGAGAUCUCUCUAUUUGAUGAUGCGUAAAAAUAGUGGGAAUUCCAACUU
Long non-coding RNA from Cucurbita pepo subsp. pepo (vegetable marrow), 2158 nucleotides. RefSeq lists it as uncharacterized. Lineage: Eukaryota; Viridiplantae; Streptophyta; Magnoliopsida; Cucurbitales; Cucurbitaceae. The record is from RefSeq and is a predicted model, not a curated record.